UGGGCUGUAGCUCAGUGGAAGAGUAUCCGCCUCCCACGUGUGAGGCACUGGGUUCGAUCCUCAGCACCUCAU
This 72-nucleotide transfer RNA is filed under the name Ictidomys tridecemlineatus (thirteen-lined ground squirrel). Its description in RNAcentral is "Spermophilus tridecemlineatus (thirteen-lined ground squirrel) tRNA". It matches the Rfam family "tRNA". From Rfam's summary of the family: Transfer RNA (tRNA) molecules are approximately 80 nucleotides in length. Their secondary structure includes four short double-helical elements and three loops (D, anti-codon, and T loops). Lineage: Eukaryota; Metazoa; Chordata; Mammalia; Rodentia; Sciuridae. The record is from Rfam by way of RNAcentral.